RNAcentral lists this ribosomal RNA (631 nucleotides) under Erysiphe capreae. RNAcentral's name for it is "partial large subunit ribosomal RNA". It matches the Rfam family "Eukaryotic large subunit ribosomal RNA", at positions 73 to 714 of the family's 3401-position model. Lineage: Eukaryota; Fungi; Ascomycota; Leotiomycetes; Helotiales; Erysiphaceae. The record is from RNAcentral.
GAUUACCUCAGUACGGCGAGUGAAAGCGGUAACAGCUCAAAUUUGAAAUCUGGCUCCUUCGGAGUCCGAGUUGUAAUUUGUAGAAGCAGCUUUGGGUUGUGGGACCGGCCUAAGUUCCUUGGAACAGGACGUCAUAGAGGGUGAGAAUCCCGUAUGUGGCCGAGGCCUGCACCCGUGUAAAGCUCUUUCGACGAGUCGAGUUGUUUGGGAAUGCAGCUCAAAAUGGGUGGUAAAUUUCAUCUAAAGCUAAAUAUAGGCCAGAGACCGAUAGCGCACAAGUAGAGUGAUCGAAAGAUGAAAAGCACUUUGGAAAGAGAGUUAAACAGUACGUGAAAUUGUUGAAAGGGAAGCGCUUGCAACCAGACUUGGACACCACUGAUCCGCGAGGGUUCUCUCUCGGGCACUCGGUGGGGUACAGGCCAGCAUCGGUUUGGAUGGUUGGAUAAAGGCCGAAGGAACGUAGCUCCUCUCGGGGAGUGUUAUAGCCUUCGGUGCAAUGCAGCCCAGCCGGACCGAGGACCGCGCCUUCGGGCUAGGAUGCUGGCGUAAUGGUUGUAAAGCGACCCGUCUUGAAACACGGACCCAAGGAGUCUAACAUCUAUGCGAGUGUUUGGGCGUAAAACCCCAUACG